GGUGCGGAACACGUGUGCACGCUUUAUCUGGGGGAUAGCCUUUCGAAAGGAAGAUUAAUACCCCAUAAUAUGUUGAAUGGCAUCAUUCGACAUUGAAAACUCCGGUGGAUAGAGAUGGGCACGCGCAAGAUUAGAUAGUUGGUGAGGUAACGGCUCACCAAGUCUACGAUCUUUAGGGGGCCUGAGAGGGUGAUCCCCCACACUGGUACUGAGACACGGACCAGACUCCUACGGGAGGCAGCAGUGAGGAAUAUUGGACAAUGGGUGAGAGCCUGAUCCAGCCAUCCCGCGUGAAGGACGACUGCCCUAUGGGUUGUAAACUUCUUUUGUAUAGGGAUAAACCUACCCUCGUGAGGGUAGCUGAAGGUACUAUACGAAUAAGCACCGGCUAACUCCGUGCCAGCAGCCGCGGUAAUACGGAGGGUGCAAGCGUUAUCCGGAUUAUGGGUUAAAGGGUCCGUAGGCGGAUCUGUAACGUCAGUGGGUGAAAUCUCACAGGUUAACUGUGAAAACUGCCAUUGAUACUGGAGGUCUUGAAGUGUUGUGGAAGUAGUGGAAUAACGUAGGUGUAACGGGAAAUGGCAUAAGAUUUACUUCAGA
RNAcentral lists this ribosomal RNA (600 nucleotides) under uncultured bacterium. RNAcentral's name for it is "bacterial SSU rRNA". It matches the Rfam family "Bacterial small subunit ribosomal RNA", at positions 105 to 705 of the family's 1533-position model. The record is from RNAcentral.